This 353-nucleotide unclassified non-coding RNA is filed under the name soil metagenome. RNAcentral's name for it is "partial contains 5.8S ribosomal RNA, internal transcribed spacer 2, and large subunit ribosomal RNA". The stretch from base 1 to 120 matches the Rfam family "5.8S ribosomal RNA", at positions 35 to 154 of the family's 154-position model. The record is from RNAcentral.
GAUGAAGAACGUAGCGAAAUGCGAUAAGUAAUGUGAAUUGCAGAAUUCAGUGAAUCAUCGAAUCUUUGAACGCACAUUGCGCCCGCAAGUAUUCUGGCGGGCAUGCCUGUUCGAGCGUCAUUACAACCCUCAGGCCCCCGGGCCUGGCGUUGGGGAUCGGCGGAAGCCCCCUGCGGGCACAACGCCGUCCCCCAAAUACAGUGGCGGUCCCGCCGCAGCUUCCAUUGCGUAGUAGCUAACACCUCGCAACUGGAGAGCGGCGCGGCCACGCCGUAAAACACCCAACUUCUGAAUGUUGACCUCGAAUCAGGUAGGAAUACCCGCUGAACUUAAGCAUAUCAAUAAGCGGAGGA